This 1475-nucleotide unclassified non-coding RNA is filed under the name uncultured fungus. Its description in RNAcentral is "sequence contains 18S rRNA gene, ITS1, 5.8S rRNA gene, ITS2, 28S rRNA gene". The stretch from base 532 to 1475 matches the Rfam family "Eukaryotic large subunit ribosomal RNA", at positions 1 to 961 of the family's 3401-position model. Lineage: Eukaryota; Fungi. The record is from RNAcentral.
GGAAGGAUCAUUAGUGAAUCUAGGGUGUCCAAUUUAACUUGGAGCCCGAACUCUCACUUUCUAACCCUGUGCAUCUGUUAUUGGUUAGUAACUCUUCGGAGUGAACUCCAUUCACUUACAAACACAAAGUCUAUGAAUGUAUAUAAAUUAUAACAAAACAAAACUUUCAACAACGGAUCUCUUGGCUCUCGCAUCGAUGAAGAACGCAGCGAAAUGCGAUACGUAAUGUGAAUUGCAGAAUUCAGUGAAUCAUCGAAUCUUUGAACGCACCUUGCGCUCCUUGGUAUUCCGAGGAGCAUGCCUGUUUGAGUGUCAUGAAAUCUUCAACCCACCUCUUUCUUAGUGAAUCUGGUGGUGCUUGGUUUCUGAGCGCUGCUCUGCUUCGGCUUAGCUCGUUCGUAAUGCAUUAGCAUCCGCAAUCGAACUUCGGAUUGACUUGGCGUAAUAGACUAUUCGCUGAGGAUUCUAGUCUCUGACUAGAGCCGGGUUUGGUUAAAGGAAGCUUCUAAUCCUAAAGUCUAUUUUUUGAUUAGAUCUCAAAUCAGGUAGGACUACCCGCUGAACUUAAGCAUAUCAAUAAGCGGAGGAAAAGAAACUAACAAGGAUUCCCCUAGUAGCGGCGAGCGAAGCGGGAAGAGCUCAAAUUUAUAAUCUGGCACCUUCGGUGUCCGAGUUGUAAUCUCUAGAAGUGUUUUCCGCGUUGGACCGCACACAAGUCUGUUGGAAUACAGCGGCACAGUGGUGAUACCCCCGUACACGGUGCGGACGCCCAGCGCUUUGUGAUACACUUUCAAAGAGUCGAGUUGUUUGGGAAUGCAGCUCAAAUUGGGUGGUAAAUUCCAUCUAAAGCUAAAUAUUGGCGAGAGACCGAUAGCGAACAAGUACCGUGAGGGAAAGAUGAAAAGCACUUUGGAAAGAGAGUUAACAGUACGUGAAAUUGUUGGAAGGGAAACGCUUGAAGUCAGACUUGCUUGCCGGAGCUUGCUUCGGUUUGCAGGCCAGCAUCAGUUUUUCGGGGUGGAUAAUGGCGGUUUGAAGGUAGCAGUCUCGUGCUGUGUUAUAGCUUUCCGCUGGAUACACCCUGGGGGACUGAGGAACGCAGCGUGCUUUUAGCGAAGGUUUCGACCUUUUCACGCUUAGGAUGCUGGUGGAAUGGCUUUAAACGACCCGUCUUGAAACACGGACCAAGGAGUCUAACAUGCUCGCGAGUAUUUGGGUGUCAAACCCGGAUGCGCAAUGAAAGUGAAUGUAGGUGGGAACCGCAAGGUGCACCAUCGACCGAUCUGGAUUUUUUAAGAUGGAUUUGAGUAAGAGCGCGUAUGUUGGGACCCGAAAGAUGGUGAACUAUGCCUGAAUAGGGCGAAGCCAGAGGAAACUCUGGUGGAGGCUCGUAGCGGUUCUGACGUGCAAAUCGAUCGUCAAAUUUGGGUAUAGGGGCGAAAGACUAAUCGAACCAUCUAGUAGCUGGUUCCUGC